GGGACGGUAGCUUAAUAGCAAGAGCGCUGGAUUGUCGAUCCAGAAGAUGUGGGUUCAAUUCCCAUGCGUCCCGCCA
Molecule: transfer RNA, 76 nt
Filed under: Gammaproteobacteria bacterium
Lineage: Bacteria; Pseudomonadati; Pseudomonadota; Gammaproteobacteria
Description: tRNA-Asp
Rfam family: tRNA
About the family: Transfer RNA (tRNA) molecules are approximately 80 nucleotides in length.
Source: RNAcentral